AGCUCGUAGUUGAACCUUGGACCUGGCUGAUCUGUCCUCCUAAUCGAGCGUACGGAUUCGGUCGGGUCUUUCCUUUUGGGGAACCCUAUGUCCUUCAUUGGGUGUAGUGGGGAACCAGGACUUUUACCUUGAAAAAAUUAGAGUGUUCAAAGCAGGCCUUUGCUCGAAUACAUUAGCAUGGAAUAAUAGAAUAGGACAUCGGUUCUAUUUUGUUGGUUUCUAGGACCGCUGUAAUGAUUAAUAGGGAUAGUCGGGGGCGUCCGUAUUCAAUUGUCAGAGGUGAAAUUCUUGGAUUUAUUGAAGACGAACUACUGCGAAAGUAUUCGCCAAGGAUGUUUUCAUUAAUCAGUGAACGAAAGUUAGGGGAUCGAAGACGAUCAGAUACCGUCGUAGUCUUAACCAUAAACUAUGCCGACUAGGGAUUGGACGGUGGUUUUUUUAUGCCCCGUUCGG
Molecule: ribosomal RNA, 453 nt
Filed under: uncultured Cyphellophora
Lineage: Eukaryota; Fungi; Ascomycota; Eurotiomycetes; Chaetothyriales; Herpotrichiellaceae
Description: SSU rRNA
Rfam family: Eukaryotic small subunit ribosomal RNA
Source: RNAcentral